RNAcentral lists this ribosomal RNA (354 nucleotides) under uncultured soil bacterium. Its description in RNAcentral is "bacterial SSU rRNA". It matches the Rfam family "Bacterial small subunit ribosomal RNA", at positions 26 to 387 of the family's 1533-position model. The record is from RNAcentral.
AGAUUGAACGCUGGCGGCAGGCCUAACACAUGCAAGUCGAGCGGUAGAGAGGUGCUUGCACCUCUUGAGAGCGGCGGACGGGUGAGUAAUGCCUAGGAAUCUGCCUAGUGGUGGGGAUAACGUUCGGAAACGGACGCUAAUACCGCAUACGUCCUACGGGAGAAAGCGGGGGACCUUCGGGCCUCGCGCCAUUAGAUGAGCCUAGGUCGGAUUAGCUAGUUGGUGAGGUAAUGGCUCACCAAGGCGACGAUCCGUAACUGGUCUGAGAGGAUGAUCAGUCACACUGGAACUGAGACACGGCCCAGACUCCUACGGAGCAGCAGUGGGAAUUUGGACAAGUGGGGAAACCCUGAU